RNAcentral lists this ribosomal RNA (423 nucleotides) under Triticum aestivum (bread wheat). RNAcentral describes it as "partial small subunit ribosomal RNA". The record is from RNAcentral. Lineage: Eukaryota; Viridiplantae; Streptophyta; Magnoliopsida; Poales; Poaceae.
AUGGCGGGUGGACCUGUUUACCUGCUGCAUCUAAAGACCGAUGUGGUGGGUUUGCCUCGUUUCGGUGGGCGAAAAGAUGGAAACAAAGCGAUGGAAAUAUCUGCCUCGUCAGCCCUCUUUCUCAGGGGAAAAGAUCUCUCUCUCUCCCUCGUCUCUUCCCAUCCCCCUCCUCUUCCCUAUGCCGCCGCCACCACUUCCCCUACCCUCUCGGACGCCUCGUCUCUUCCACCUCCGCCUCCAUCACCUCCUCCCCUGCCUCCGCACCCGACCACGCGCUAUGGACGAGGACGAGGAGGCAACAGCUCGAGAGGCAGGCAAGAGGAAAACGGGAGGGAUCCCCUCCCGAGCCCCGCGCCUCCCCUCUUUCCCACUGCGCCGCCAGCCCCUUUCCCUCCCUUCGCCGCUGCUAUAGCUCCUCCCUGA